CCUCCCCAUCUGUGACCGCGACGCGCCUCCCCCAUUUAGGAACAGGACAUGCACCCCCAGCUCCAUAUGGAACAAUUCCCCAACACUACCGGAUUGCUUGGAUUGCGCCGCCACCAGCCCGAUCUCCCGUCUGGUCACCUCCGCUUCUCGCCAUCUAUCUCGUCAUGUCAUCACAGACGAGCUGCAUGGAAUACAAUCACGUUGGAUCUCCACAAACCCCACAGAUCCGUCCAAGAACAGCCCCCUCUGGAUCCACAUCACUUCGGAGGCGAGGACGACCCCGCAACCACCGCACCCUGGCACUCAGCGGCCGGGGCAGGAGCCUACCCCCGUACCACGCCCAGAAGGCAAGGGGCUCCCAGCAACUGCAACUCCAUUACGUUCCUCAAUUGAGCACAUGAUUAGAUGAACAUGGAGCACACAGGAACAUGCGUGGAUGGACCAUGCAUGCCCAAAAUCACCUCAUUCCUUAUCCAUGAGUAUGUCACCAUGACCCUCUGUAUCAGCUCUAAGAUGUACUACAACGGUGCUACUCCAUUCACCAAGAUGAGGAUCAAUUUAAUGUUUUUCCCUUUCUCUUUACUGUAUUGCAAGUCAUUUUUCUACACUAAAAGAUCACAGAUUUGAUGAUGCACCGUACAGUACGUGAAACAAUUCAGCCAUGGUUUCGUAGUUUGCCGAACUGCCGAAUGACUACCAGUAUUAUUCUAUUUAUUAGUAUUCUUCAUGUUUGUUGGAAUAUUUGAAUGAGACAACACUUUGUAUCCCAAUUAAAAUGUAACUAAAGUGAGAUGGUUUUAGUUUGUU
Long non-coding RNA from Triticum dicoccoides, 807 nucleotides. RefSeq lists it as uncharacterized. The record is from RefSeq and is a predicted model, not a curated record. Lineage: Eukaryota; Viridiplantae; Streptophyta; Magnoliopsida; Poales; Poaceae. The transcript is spliced from 2 exons.